RNAcentral lists this ribosomal RNA (497 nucleotides) under uncultured bacterium. Its description in RNAcentral is "partial 16S ribosomal RNA". It matches the Rfam family "Bacterial small subunit ribosomal RNA", at positions 28 to 507 of the family's 1533-position model. The record is from RNAcentral.
GAUGAACGCUGGCGGCGUGCCUAAUACAUGCAAGUCGAGCGAACGGACGAGGAGCUUGCGGCUCUGAUGUUAGCGGCGGACGGGAGAGUAACGCGUGUAUAACCUACCUAUAAGACGGGGAUAACUUCGGGAAACCGUAGCUAAUACCGGAGAAUAUUUUGAACCGCAUGGUUCAAUGGUGAAAGACGGUCUUGCUGGCACGUAUAGAGGGAUCCGGGCUGCAUUAUCUAGUUGUUAAGGUAACGGCUUACCAAGGCAACGAUGCGUAGCCGACCGGAGGGGGGGAUCGGCGACCCUGGAACUGGGACACGGUCCAUACUCCUACGGGACGCAGCAGUCGGGAAUCUUCCGCAAUGGGCGAAAGCCUGACGGAGCGACGCCGCGUGAGUGAUGACGGUCUUCGGAUCGUAAAACUCUGUUAUUAGGGAAGAACAUAUGUGUAAGUAACUGUGCACAUCUUGACGGUACCUAAUCAGAAAGCCCCGGCUAACUACGUG